Molecule: non-coding RNA, 79 nt
Filed under: Rhodomonas sp. CCMP768
Lineage: Eukaryota; Cryptophyceae; Pyrenomonadales; Pyrenomonadaceae
Source: RNAcentral
CCAGUGGGACGUCGGGUAUCUGCCACGUGGGAACAGCCUGGUGGGGCAGCCGCGGACGUUUGGGGGCAAAUUCAACGGC